CUCCGACAUGACGCAUGUCGUGUUGGGAAAGAUUCUAUCGGUAUGGGAUGGGGUCGCGUCCUAUCAGGUAGUCGGCGGGGUAACGGCCCACCGAGCCUACGACGGGUAGCCGGCCUGAGAGGGCGACCGGCCACAUUGGGACUGAGAUACGGCCCAGACUCCUACGGGAGGCAGCAGUGGGGAAUAUUGCACAAUGGGCGCAAGCCUGAUGCAGCGACGCCGCGUGCGGGAUGACGGCCUUCGGGUUGUAAACCGCUUUUGACUGGGAGCAAGCCCUUCGGGGUGAGUGUACCUUUCGAAUAAGCACCGGCUAACUACGUGCCAGCAGCCGCGGUAAUACGUAGGGUGCAAGCGUUAUCCGGAAUUAUUGGGCGUAAAGGGCUCGUAGGCGGUUCGUCGCGUCCGGUGUGAAAGUCCAUCGCUUAACGGUGGAUCCGCGCCGGGUACGGGCGGGCUUGAGUGCGGUAGGGGAGACUGGAA
RNAcentral lists this ribosomal RNA (480 nucleotides) under uncultured Bifidobacterium sp. 1-2B. RNAcentral describes it as "bacterial SSU rRNA". It matches the Rfam family "Bacterial small subunit ribosomal RNA", at positions 173 to 666 of the family's 1533-position model. Lineage: Bacteria; Bacillati; Actinomycetota; Actinomycetes; Bifidobacteriales; Bifidobacteriaceae. The record is from RNAcentral.